CAUCCCUUGCGUGGUGGAGGGUG
RNAcentral lists this microRNA (23 nucleotides) under Microcebus murinus (gray mouse lemur). Its description in RNAcentral is "mmr-miR-188". Its record names the gene mmr-miR-188. Lineage: Eukaryota; Metazoa; Chordata; Mammalia; Primates; Cheirogaleidae. The record is from miRBase by way of RNAcentral.